GAGGGAGAAGGUGAAAUGACGCCAGCGUGAGGUCCUUCUUCCACCUUUUGGAGGCAGACUGAAAUGGCAUCCAACAGUUUCUGUGGUUUUUCAGCCGAACGACAUCAACGACGUGACGUCGUUGUCGGAUUACCGUCAGAUUCUGACUUUGUGUUUUCUUAUUUUAUGCUCUUAAAUUGAAUUGCCUGCCAUCAGACCAGGUGGACUCAUCUGUCAUUAAUGAGCGUGCUCGUAUUUGAUUGGCCAACGCAACGUCUUGCUCAUCAGGUUGAGUCACCGUGACAUCAUCGUGUUUGUGCGUUGUUUGUUCUGCUUUGUGAUGCUUAUGAACUUAUUAAUUCCUCAAGUCUGAUUUCUGGCUGAAGCAGCAAAGCGAUCAAUAACUGAUACUGUCUGAGCCACUCUGACGUGAUGGAUGUCUAAAUAUCCUCUCAGACUGACCAAAUUCCUCUCUCGUCAGGGUUGUGAUCACCUAACAAACCGCAGCUAAUUACAAAUGAACUUUCAGAGGAGGCGUGUGACUCGAGCGACCUCCUCUCAAACUGCUUCAUGAACGUAAUCAGACGCAUCAAUCACAGCGAGCCAGCGAGGCCCGUGUUAAUCCUCUGUGUUCACUUUGGAGUUAAAUGGCCCUAAAGGCUAAUGAAAGAGACGCUGGGCUUCGCUCCUGCAGCCUGAGGAAUGAGUCUGUCACUGCUCAGUCAGUGUCGAGCAGAUCGAGUCAUCAUUCAGCUCAAAGUCAGAUCGCACCUUCAUGAAAAGUUAGCAGGCUGGAAACAAUAACUUCUGCCGAUUUAAACGGCACGGCGGCGUCCCGGUGAUCGGCAGUGGGCUCCUCUGACUGGCCGUGGACGUGGGCGUGGCUCAGGUGUGACGACGGCGAGAAGCGACUGCCUGAACGAUGUUGGCGUCAUCAGUUGUGUUCCAGCCGGACAGUAAAGAGCAGCACUGAAGGUUUUUCUCCGUGAAGCGGAUGUUUUCGCUCUUCUCAGCUGGCUUUGCUUCCUGUGUGUCACUGAUCUGAUUGGUUGACGUUAUCCUGCGAUGCACACAUGGUUCGUCCUGUCUCCGGGGUUUCCUGCAGCUCCUCCUGCAGGUUGGCUUCAUUAGGUUGAUCUAAGAGAGCUGGGACAAGUUGGGAAGAUGGAGACGUCUCCUUUUCACCUGAAAUCCUGUCACCAAGCAGCAGCAUCAGUGUCUGAAUCUUCACACGCCGUCGUCUCAGUCUGAGUUAAACUACAGAAACUCUGAGCGACGUCUGGAUGGAAUCCUGCUCUUUAUUUAAAUUCUGAAUCUAAUGGACAGUCAGAGCGCGAUGAUGGCGGCGGCGGAGGCCUCAGCCACGCCUGUCGUGUUGAGCGAGUGCUCUCAUUGAACUGAGGGCCGCAGCAGACACGUCAUCACACGUGGACCAUCUGUCUUCAUCCAAAGCGGCGCAGAGCGAGACGCUGAACGCCUGCCGAGACUCCAGCACAUCCGAGUAACAGGAAGCGUCUGAUUGGCCGGACAGUCACGGGAGACUGCGGGGAAACUGCAACAGAACAACACCUGCAAUGCAGCAACCUGAUGUGCGUGGAAAUCUGAGUGGAUCUGCAGUUAUUUCUUACUGCUGUAAGUUCUGGAGAUGAUUAGCUGCAGUACCACAGGUGUCCACUAGGAUGACCUGACUGUGACACACAGUCUCAGCUCAGUCAAACAUUUAGCUCAUUACAGACAGUGAGACUGUGUGUGUGUGUGUG
Molecule: long non-coding RNA, 1739 nt
Organism: Scatophagus argus
Lineage: Eukaryota; Metazoa; Chordata; Actinopteri; Scatophagidae
Exons: 3
Source: RefSeq, a predicted model, not a curated record